GAUGAACGCUGGCGGCGUGCCUAAUACAUGCAAGUCGAGCGAACGGACGAGAAGCUUGCUUUUCUGAUGUUAGCGGCGGACGGGUGAGUAACACGUGGAUAACCUACCUAUAAGACUGGGAUAACUUCGGGAAACCGGAGCUAAUACCGGAUAAUAUUUUGAACCGCAUGGUUCAAAAGUGAAAGACGGUCUUGCUGUCACUUAUAGAUGGAUCCGCGCUGCAUUAGCUAGUUGGUAAGGUAACGGCUUACCAAGGCAACGAUGCAUAUCCGACCUGAGAGGCUGAUGGGAAACAAAGGAACUGAGCCACGGACAAGGGUAGUAGUGGAGGCCGAAGUCGGGAAAAUGAAGAAAUGGGCGAAAGUUUGACGGUAUAAACACGCGCGAAUGAUGAAGUCCUGAGGAUAGUAAAAAAGUGUGAGUAGGCAAGAAAAGAUGUGAAAGGAACACAGUAAAUUUUACCGGAAAAUAACAAGACAACAACGGAACGGAACGGA
This 497-nucleotide ribosomal RNA is filed under the name uncultured bacterium. RNAcentral describes it as "partial 16S ribosomal RNA". It matches the Rfam family "Bacterial small subunit ribosomal RNA", at positions 28 to 521 of the family's 1533-position model. The record is from RNAcentral.